This 89-nucleotide microRNA precursor is filed under the name Chlorocebus sabaeus (green monkey). RNAcentral describes it as "miRNA (ENSCSAG00000024378.1)". The record is from RNAcentral. Lineage: Eukaryota; Metazoa; Chordata; Mammalia; Primates; Cercopithecidae.
AGUGAGACCCUGUCUCAAAAAAACAACAAACAAACAAAAAUCCAUUUUUUGUUUUGGUUUGUUUUUGUUUUUUGGGUUUUUUUUUUUUU